Molecule: ribosomal RNA, 99 nt
Filed under: uncultured Fictibacillus sp.
Lineage: Bacteria; Bacillati; Bacillota; Bacilli; Caryophanales; Fictibacillaceae
Description: partial 16S ribosomal RNA
Rfam family: Bacterial small subunit ribosomal RNA
Source: RNAcentral
ACGCCGCGUGAGUGAUGAAGGUUUUCGGAUCGUAAAACUCUGUUGUCAGGGAAGAACAAGUACGAGAGUAACUGCUCGUACCUUGACGGUACCUGACCA